This 361-nucleotide small RNA is filed under the name Histoplasma capsulatum. Its description in RNAcentral is "hypothetical RNA". RNAcentral also lists the same sequence under 1 other name. The record is from RNAcentral. Lineage: Eukaryota; Fungi; Ascomycota; Eurotiomycetes; Onygenales; Ajellomycetaceae.
GCUGCAGAAGGUAAGGUUUGCACAUAUUUCCAUGUGCACGUAUAGAUGUGAAAAGGUCUACGGAGUAUGCAUCUGCCAAAUACCAGAGAACACUUCAGACACCUCACCGGACGAUCUUCUGCUCCACAGCAUUGGUGUAUGAUAUUCAAACAGGAUGCCCCUGCGCGGUUCGGAAUUGCAAAUGGUAAAAGUAUGGACGAGCAGGCCGAGUUCCAAACUCCAGUCCUCGCGUGGGAGAGUUGAAUUUAUUCGCAGAAGCUUUUUACGGUGGAGGUUAAAUAAAUCACUUGUUCAGGGGCUUGACACCUAAAAGCCCCCUGAGAAGUUGGGUGUCGACCCCAUAAUAAUGAUAUCACCAACC